Molecule: small nucleolar RNA, 85 nt
Filed under: Theobroma cacao (cacao)
Lineage: Eukaryota; Viridiplantae; Streptophyta; Magnoliopsida; Malvales; Malvaceae
Description: Small nucleolar RNA R38
Rfam family: Small nucleolar RNA R38
About the family: snoR38 is a C/D box small nucleolar RNA conserved across yeast, human, Arabidopsis and rice.
Source: Rfam by way of RNAcentral
UGUUGUGAAUGAUGAGGCGAUUCAAUAUUAUUACAGUUAUCCCUGUCUGAUUACUGUUGCUGAUAAUUUGUUUUCUGACACAACA